GGGUCUAAUACUGGAUAUUCAACUUCUAUCGCAUGGUGGUUGUUGGAAAGGGUUUCUGGUCAAGGAGGGACUCGCGGCCUAUCAGCUUGUUGGUGAGGUAAUGGCUCACCAAGGCGACGACGGGUAGCCGGCCUGAGAGGGUGACCGGCCACACUGGGACUGAGACACGGCCCAGACUCCUACGGGAGGCAGCAGUGGGGAAUAUUGCACAAUGGGCGAAAGCCUGAUGCAGCGACGCCGCGUGAGGGAUGACGGCCUUCGGGUUGUAAACCUCUUUCAGUAGGGAAGAAGCGAGAGUGACGGUACCUGCAGAAGAAGCGCCGGCUAACUACGUGCCAGCAGCCGCGGUAAUACGUAGGGCGCAAGCGUUAUCCGGAAUUAUUGGGCGUAAAGAGCUCGUAGGCGGUUUGUCGCGUCUGCCGUGAAAGUCCGGGGCUUAACUCCGGAUCUGCGGUGGGUACGGGCAGGCUAGAGUGCUGUAGGGGAGACUGGAAUUCCUGGUGUAGCGGUGAAAUGCGCAGAUAUCAGGAGGAACACCGAUGGCGAAGGCAGGUCUCUGGGCAGUAACUGACGCUGAGGAGCGAAAGCAUGGGGAGCGAACAGGAUUAGAUACCCUGGUAGUCCAUGCCGUAAACGUUGGGCACUAGAUGUGGGGGACAUUCCACGUUUUCCGCGUCGUAGCUAACGCAUUAAGUGCCCCGCCUGGGGAGUACGGUCGCAAGGUUAAAACUCAAAGGAAUUGAC
RNAcentral lists this ribosomal RNA (744 nucleotides) under Zhihengliuella sp. NCCP-918. Its description in RNAcentral is "bacterial SSU rRNA". It matches the Rfam family "Bacterial small subunit ribosomal RNA", at positions 159 to 914 of the family's 1533-position model. The record is from RNAcentral. Lineage: Bacteria; Bacillati; Actinomycetota; Actinomycetes; Micrococcales; Micrococcaceae.